GUUUAUUUCUGUUUAUAAUUCCAGAUUGCAGUCUGUCAUUGAGGGGAGGCAAGACAGGAGCAAAAGGCAGGAACUUGAAGGCAAUGUUACCUCCAACCAAGGAACUCAUUUCACAGCCAAAGAAGGGAAUCUUCGGAAGAUGCCUCCUCUGAUGUGACCCAGAAACUUUCUGACUCAGGUAUGAGACUGGGUGAGGGAGGAGGGCGAGGCAUGCCACUUACAAAAGUGAAAGUGAAUUGUUUUCAUUCUGCAUGCUAAGAACCCACCAUGAUAUCCUGAAGACAAGAUAUAAAAUUAGAGAAUCCUGCCAGUAGAAACUUAUCUGUUCAAGAGAAGAGGAACACCUUCUAAGUCCCCAGAAAGACUUCUGGACCCUCGUUUGACCUCUCUUUAAUGAAGCCUGC
This 404-nucleotide long non-coding RNA is filed under the name Cricetulus griseus (Chinese hamster). RNAcentral describes it as "lncRNA (ENSCGRG00000026448.1)". The record is from RNAcentral. Lineage: Eukaryota; Metazoa; Chordata; Mammalia; Rodentia; Cricetidae.